Molecule: long non-coding RNA, 5062 nt
Filed under: Gossypium raimondii (Peruvian cotton)
Lineage: Eukaryota; Viridiplantae; Streptophyta; Magnoliopsida; Malvales; Malvaceae
Description: long non-coding RNA (GRAI_LNC009145)
Source: RNAcentral
AAUACUGAUUUGUCUUCAUCUUUUGAUAUUACUUUUUUUAUUAUUGUCAAUGCAUCUCCUUCCACCGUGAUUCGACGAAAACCAAUCUCUUCUGCAAACUGCACUGCUUGCUAACAUGCAUGCGCUUCCGCCAUUGCUGGGGCCAAGACAUUUUUAAUCGGGUAAGUGCAUGCUCUCAUUAUUAAUCCUACAUGAUCUCUGUAAUACCCAAUUUUAGCCCGGGCUCACAUAUGGAAACAUAAUUUUUGAGGAUAUGUAAUCUUAGAUAUGAUAUAUGCAAUCUUAGAUAUGAUAUGUAAUCUUAGAAGAUAUGAUUUUGUAAUCUUAGAGAUUUAAUUUGUAGAUACCCUUUAAUCUCAGCCGUUGAUCUGUACCGUUGGAUUUGGGGAGGCUCAACUAUAAAUUGAGGUCUCUCCCUUCAUUGAAAAAAAAAGAGGGGAAAAAAAGAUGAGGAAUAAAAAAAGAACGAUUGGCAGUUUUUUAAAGGUGGUUUACUAUUUUUUUUCUUUCGAUUAUUUUUUUUUACUUAUUUACGAUUUUAAAAAAGGGAGAAGGUGAUACCACUGCGAAUUUUAUUUAUUUAUUUUUAUUUAGCCCCUCCGCCUUUUAAUGUUUUUGUAAUUAAGUUUUCUUUAUUUUUUUUAAUUUACCCUUUUAUUUAUUUUAAAUUUCAAUUUAAUCCUUUUGAACGACACCGUUUUAGAGGAGAAGGAAAAAUUUCCCUUCCAGCCCCUCUAUGUAAUUCGCGCGUUCAAAUUAGUCCUUUUACUUUUAUUUAUUUGCAGAUUUACCCCAGAUUUUUAAAUUGCGAUUCAAUUUAGUUUUUUAUACUCUUUUUAUUUAUUUUAUUAAUUAAUAGUGUAAUUAUUAUUUUUAUUCUAUUUUUUUAUCUAUAUAUAUUCCUUUUAUAUGUGCACAUAUAUAUAUAUAUAUUUUUUAAACGAAUAUUUUCCUAUAUUUUUUUAAUGAAUAUUUUCAUAUUUAUAUGUAUAUAUUUACAUUUUUUUAAGUGAUUAAAUACUCACCUUUUUUUUCCUUUUUUUAAAAUAUAUUUAUUUUUAUUAUUUUAUAUAUGUACGUAUAAUUAUAUUUUUUUCUUUAUUUUCAUAAGCAUAUUAUGUAUUGUAUUUAUAUAUAAAUUCUAUGACCUAAAAUUUUAUUUGUAAAUUAUAUGUAUAUUUUUAAUCUUCAUAAUUUCCAUGUGUACAUCUUUUGAUCCUUAUUUAUUUGUUUGCUAUCCCAUCCAUUGUAUAAUUGUGUUUACAUUUAAUAUUUUGCAUGUCAUGGAUUACCUUUUUUUUUAUUUCGUUUAUUCAUUUGCUUAUAUUAUUUUUAUGUCGAUGAUGUAUUUAUUAUUGUUAUUGUUAUUGUUAUUAUAGCAUUUGCAUGUAUAAAAUCACGUUACAUCAUUUUUUACUCAAAUUUAAAGAUAGAAAAUUUUUUAAAAUUGAGAUAAUGUUUGUAUUUAGGAUUUUCAAGGGAAUUGAGCCCUAACGUAUUGGGUUCCAAUUUUCUUCGUUAAAUCCGAUAAUCGAGCAUUUCUCUUCAAUCAAAAAAUAAAAACUUAUUAUUGGGAAUUCAACACGUUGUGUCCUAACGUAUUGGAUGUGACGUAUUGAUUUCUUGAAAUGAAGAUUUUUUAAAAAUAAUAAAGGAAAUAUUCCGAAUUUGGGAUUUUAAAGGAAUUGUGCCCUAACGUAUUGGGUGUGAUUUCUUAAAUCUUGGAUAAGUGGAUGUUCUUUUAAAGUAAAGGAAAUAUUCCGAGUUUGGGAUUCUAGAGGAAUCGUGCCCUAACGUAUUGGGUGUGAUUUCUUAAAUCUUGGAUAAGUGGAUGUUCUUUUAAAAUUUUAUUGUACAAGUAUUUUGGCCCAAUUCAUUUUGGGGAAAAUUAGAAUGCUGUGCCCUAACGCAUUGGGUGUGGUAUCUUCUUUCUCUGAAAUAAUAAGGGUCUUAAUACGUAGCCUUUUAAGUUUUGCUAAGGAUUACGUUUUUUCCAAAUUCUCGACCUUAAGACACUAAUUAAUUAACUAGGUACCAAUUUUGGGCAUUACGAGGGUGCUAAUCCUUCCUCAUACGUAACUGACUCCCGGAUCCGUUUUUCUAAAACUCGUAGACCAAAGCCGUUUUUUUAGGUAAUCCAAUCACACCCUAAUAAAAGAUUGGUGGCGACUCCCAACUUUCAUUUUUUUAAGUCGACAACCCAAAAUUUUUAUUUUUCAAAAAAUAGUUUCGACAAUCUCAAAUUUUAUUUUAAACAAGUUUCACUAUAAACUACUUUUAUUUUAUAAAAUUUCAAAGAUAAAUGUAAAUAAAGAAAGAUGUACCUUAUAUAGCAAUUUACACAAAUUUCAAAAUCUAAUUUUAUUCGUGUUUAUAAAAAUCAUUGUUUUUGUAUAAGAGUUUUAGAAUCUUAUACAAAUAUUAUUUACAUAAUAAAAUUUUAUAAAAUAUAAAUUGAUAAUAUUAAAAAAGAGUUCUCAGAAAAGAAAUCAAAUUUAUAUCAAUAAAUUUAAAAUAUACAUUCAAAUACGAAAAUGUCUUUUUAAUGUUGUUGUUCUAUUGGGCUUUAGACUUUUUGCAGGCCGUGGUGAGUAUCUUUCUUUUAUUAAUGAAAUAAACUGCUUUUUGCCGAGGAAAACAAAACCUUGAUAAUAAAAUAAAUUGUAAAAAAACUCAAUUUUUAACGAAGCCCUAUCUCUCGAAUUUUAAAAAUAAAAAUAAUUAGUUAAACAUCAUAAACAUAUGGAAGAUUAGAAAAGAAAAAAACACAGAUCAAAUAAAAACUAAUUAAUGUACAAAAAUAUAAAAAAAUAAUGAAAUAAAUUAUAGAAUAACCUAAAGCUCUAAUUCAUCAAAGUGAACUUAUUAUAGAAGUUAAAUUUUUAAAAUUUACUUACAAAGGUAACUGAAUAAUUCAAUAAAUUUAUAAUCAUAAGUGUAUAUUCAUGAUAAUUUAUAAUUUUAUAUUUAAAUUCAAUUAGUCUAAGAAUUAAAUAAAAUUGGUUUAAUAUAUGUUUGGUACCUGAUUUUGGUACUUUUUUAAUGUGGUACCUCUGUUAUUUUUUGGUCCAAUCUAGUGUCUAUAUUUGAAUAUAUAUAUAUUAUUAUCCAAAGGUAAUGGUGCUAAUUUCAAUAAUUAAUUUUUAAUUUUGAUUUGAUGAAAGUUAAUUACUAAUAUUAUUCUAUUUGAAAUUUUUCAUUAUUUUUCUAAUAGAAUAAAUUUAAUGUUAUUGUGAAUUUGUUUAAUUUUACACUUAACUUAUCAAAUACAAUUUGUUUAAAAUAUGAUUUAAUUCAAAUUCUAGGGUUUUCAUAAAAGUUAAUUACUAAUAUCUCUUAUUAUGAAUUUUCAUUAAAUCAACUCAAACUCAAUUUAAACUAAAAUGUUAAUAUUGUUUCCUUUGGACCACAUUGAACCAAAAAAUAACACAAAUAUCAUGGUAGAAGAAAGUGUCAAACUAAGGUACCAAACUAUACAUUAAGCUAAUAAAAUUAGUAACAAAAAAAAUUACUUUUAUAGUUUUAAAUUUGAAAUAGUUGGAAAAAUAAUUUAAAAAUGGCCAUGAAAUUUAGAAAAUAUUAUAAUUAUAUUAGCAUGAGAUCAGAAUUUGUCAAUCAGACAAAAAUCUGCAAAGCAAACUGAAGAAUGGAAAGGGCAAGGAGUGGAAGAGAAAGAGAAAGGGCAUGAAAAGCCAGCAAACAGCCGCUUUUGAAUAUCCAAGCAAGUUAAUUUUACUCAAUUAUUAACUUACAUUUAAGAACAGAAAAUCGAUCAUACAAAUAGCAUAUGAUUUAGAGGAUGAUAUUGUACUGUACAUGCACCUUUCUAGAAAAGUUCUAACACAACAUACACUUAUUAUACUGUCAUAUAAUAUUUAAUCUUCAUUCAUACCACCCUACACAAACAAAACAGAGCACAAAAGAGAGCGCCAUAACUACAACAGCACGCAGUUGACAUUAUCACAAGUACGAAUCUAAGUAUGCAUAUGUGUGUCUUUUGUUGUAUUGCAGCAAACUUGCAUACGUUCUGUCCCAUAUUCCUAUAUACAAAGAUUCAUCGUCUGGACUCAGAGAUACUCCCGAAAUCUCCCCAAAGAAGUCAAUCUCUUGUCUUUUCUCGUAAUCGGCACACGUACUAUACACGUGAACAAAAUCUGCAGGUUCAGCAGCCACCAUGAAUUGACCAUCGGAUGAAAAGCGGAUUGAUCGUAUGGCACCCAAGUUUCCUUUGAGAGUCGCAACUGGCCUUGAAAGGUUUCGAACGUCCCACACACGGCAUGUCUUAUCCUGAUUUCCAGUGGCAAAUAUGCGCCCGUCUGGGUGCCAUGCAGAUGCAAAGGAGUAAUCUAGAUGACCUACCACCGUUGCUACAGUCUGAAACCAAAGACAACGUGAUUCAGUAACCGCAAUAAUUCUUCUUUUCCUGCUUAAUGUUGCACCAAGGCACUUGUGCAGAUCUAAUCGAAUGAGAUUUUUAUUUACCUUUCCGUUUUGCAAAUCCACAAGCAACCCAUCCAAGCUAUCUCCAACAACAGUAAUAAGCCUUCGGUCAGGGCUGACUGAUGUAUGCUGCAUCAGAACAAACAAGUUCCAUCAUGUAAUUGAAUAUUAAGGUAAUCAAUAAAAUGUCAAAUGAUUAAGAUUCGCUUUCUCCAUUUAUGAAGCAACUAUCUCUUUUUCUUUUGAAGCACAAACCCGAUAAGUCAAAUUCACCAUACUUCUCCACUACGUGAAGAAAUUUAUUACAGUGAAUGACCAUACAACUAUCCUUGCACCAUUGCAUCUCUUUAGAACUUACAGAUAUAAAAUAGACCAUUCAGCGAGACAAGAAAGAACAGCUGAAUUAAGAAAGUAGUCAAAUAGUAGAGAUUUGAUGGGCUUACAUUUACUGGCCAAGGGAAACGGAGAUGGUUUAGAAGCUGAAAUCUCUCCGUAUCAUAUUCUCUCAUGCUACAGUCAUUAUUGGCAGCCAUAAAAUUGAUUCCACCCCUGCAAAACAAUUUUGAAAUUCAAUCUAUAUUUUAUUCAAUAUAUAUUUUCCCAGUCAAACAGACAAUCAGCA